GAUGACCGGCGCCAUGGCUCGUCCCGCCCCGGGAAGGCCCGCCCGGCCGGCGGAGGGGAGGCACUGCCCGACCGGCAAGGGAGGGAGAGCGGAGCUGUGACAGCCGCCGCCGCCGCCCCGCUGCGCGCUCCGGCGCUGUGAGGGUUUGUAAGCCCUUGGUUGUUACCACCGAGGUGCUCGAUUCUCGGGUUUGUGAAAGCUCCCGGCUAAAAAGAUAAGCAAAAGUUGGUUUUUUGAGACUGCCUGAAAAAGCUGUCCGCUAGUAAGAUCGCAGAAUGGUUUGGGUUGGAAGGGACCUUAAAGAUCACCCAGUUCCAACCCCCUGCCACGGGCAGGGACACCUUCCACUAGGAGAAAGUCUCAAAGCUUGAGCUGCCAUAACCCUUGGAAGACUCAACAUGAAGUCCACAUAGAGAAAAUUUGCUACAAAAAUCUAAUGCUGAGCAUCCAUAGCUGCUAUUGACUGAAGUGGCAGUGUCUGCUCAGGAGCUGGAAAAAAGAAAUUCACCAAAAGUGAUAAAGUCUACAAAGAAGAUACCACUGACUGGCUUGUCUGAGCAAUAUACAGAUUUUACAGUCUCUAAAGUAAAGUGCAGCCUGACAUUUAAAUUCCUGUAUCAUUUGUUUCUCCAAUUUAACAGUACUUGCAUGAAGGAAACAUCCACCCUCACCUUCAAAUAAUGACGCAAAUUAACAUCAGACAUACACCAACACGGAAGCAGCACACUGAAGCAGUGAGUAGCAGCGUGCAGCAUAGAGGCUUGAUACUGCUGGAAAAGAAGCCUCUCUCUUUCUGACUUUCAGAUAUCCCAUUUGGUUGGCUUUUAGGCAGAGGGUCAACUUUGUUGCUGGAGAAAAUGAGAAAGUGGCUCAGUGAAAGCUAUUUGUCUUAUACAGAGAAUCUGUGCACUUGACAUUGAAUUGUAAAGGAGUGGUUCCUUCAGGUAUGAAGCAAAAAUAAAAGAGUAUUUUAAUUAUAUUUUCUAAAGACAACAAUCAAUCAUAGUGAAUAUGUCUUAGUUAUAUGAAUAAUUACAUGUUCACCUCUGUAUACUGGUGGGAACACUGUAGUAGGUGAAGGUAAUUUGGGUGUAGGGAUAGCAGGCAUAAGAGAGUUCUGAUAAACAUCCAUUAGAUUUUAGUGUGUUAAAAAGAUCUAAAUAUAUGGAAAAGUCAUAUUUAAACUUUGCAGUCUAUGACAUUUCUACAUGAAACAAAAUGGACAUCAGAAAACUAAGAAAAACGUGAGUACAAACUAAAAGAUCCAUGUUUACUCACUUGUGCUUUAUAUAAGACACUGCUCCUUCGUUUUGCAAACUCAACACAACUGUAUAAAAGUGUGAGGUGAUUUCCUCUACACAGCUUGUGUCAUCAGUAAAAUCAAUCAGCAUUUACACAAUCCCUUUUGGGGGACACAUAACAAAGAAAGAAUAGAUCAUGACUUCAGGUUGAGUUGCAUGAAUGAUACUUAGCACAGGAAAUUGUCAGUAUUUCUAUAUAUAUGAAAUGGAACAUAAAGACAUGUAGACGUACAUUUAUCAGGUCUAUAAGGACAACGAUACUUGGAUCUCUAGUUGUUUUUACAGUGGAGUAACAAUGAAAAGCUCUGUAUUAAAACUAAAUAAUAUGUCUAAUAUAAAAACCUUCACAUUUUGAAAUAAAACUUGAUUUUUUAAA
Molecule: long non-coding RNA, 1677 nt
Organism: Strigops habroptila (Kakapo)
Lineage: Eukaryota; Metazoa; Chordata; Aves; Psittaciformes; Psittacidae
Exons: 3
Source: RefSeq, a predicted model, not a curated record